UAUCCUACAUUAUAUACUGUGUGCUACCACGUAAAUCCAAGGUGCGCCCACACAACACGGCCGGCCACACCCCGAUUUUGAACACAAAACCAAAACAAAAGUGAACCAUUUGCUUCUAAAGAAAACCACAACCUCUCUCCUUUUUUCAUUCUAUAUAAACCCACCUGCUUUGCUUCACAAACUCAUUCACUCAAAACACAAAAAAAGUUAUUACAUACAAAGAGAGUUGUUCUCAACGUGUUUAAAGUACUAGAAGCUAACAUGGCCACAGUGGUAGAAACCUGGAUGGGGGAGCUAGCAAAGCUUAAAGAGAAGGUUAAGGUUAAGACCCAGAAGCCAUUAUUUUCAAAAGCCAAAGAAGAAGCUGUAGAAGAAAAGGAAGGUGCUACAAAGGAAGCAAGAAUGGUUCAAAGAGAAAACAUGUUGUCAGAAACCACAGUUUUUUUGCUUAUGGACAGGUUUGCACCUUGGUGAGGCUGUUCAUGAAAGUGUG
Quercus robur (English oak) is the source of this 493-nucleotide long non-coding RNA. RefSeq lists it as uncharacterized. NCBI's taxonomy places the organism in Eukaryota, Viridiplantae, Streptophyta, Magnoliopsida, Fagales, Fagaceae. The record is from RefSeq and is a predicted model, not a curated record. The transcript is spliced from 2 exons.